RNAcentral lists this ribosomal RNA (497 nucleotides) under uncultured bacterium. RNAcentral's name for it is "partial 16S ribosomal RNA". It matches the Rfam family "Bacterial small subunit ribosomal RNA", at positions 28 to 507 of the family's 1533-position model. The record is from RNAcentral.
GAUGAGCGCUGGCGGCGUGCCUAAUACAUGCAAGUCGAGCGAACAGAUGAGGAGCUUGCUCCUCUGACGUUAGCGGCGGACGGGUGAGUAACACGUGGAUAACCUACCUAUAAGACUGGGAUAACUUCGGGAAACCGGAGCUAAUACCGGAUAAUAUAUUGAACCGCAUGGUUCAAUAGUGAAAGACGGUUUUGCUGUCACUUAUAGAUGGAUCCGCGCCGCAUUAGCUAGUUGGUAAGGUAACGGCCUACCAAGGCAACGAUGCGUAGCCGACCUGAGAGGGUGAUCGGCCACACUGGAACUGAGACACGGUCCAGACUCCUACGGGAGGCAGCAGUAGGGAAUCUUCCGCAAUGGGCGAAAGCCUGACGGAGCAACGCCGCGUGAGUGAUGAAGGUCUUCGGAUCGUAAAACUCUGUUAUUAGGGAAGAACAAAUGUGUAAGUAACUAUGCACGUCUUGACGGUACCUAAUCAGAAAGCCACGGCUAACUACGUG